Molecule: non-coding RNA, 2533 nt
Organism: Arachis ipaensis
Lineage: Eukaryota; Viridiplantae; Streptophyta; Magnoliopsida; Fabales; Fabaceae
Source: RefSeq, a predicted model, not a curated record
UCACAUGCAUGCAUAUAUACAUACACAAACAUAUAUUUGGCAAUGAUGAUGAUUAUGAUUCUGAUCCUUUGGAAGGCUUUUGAUGAACACCACUAGCUAUGGAACUGUCUAUGAUUAGUUCUAAGCUAUAAGAUUUGAGGGCACUCCUAUGUUUUACACUUUUACCUUCAGUUUGCCUGCUAUUUGAGCUAGUUGGUUAGAUUUGAUUGUUUAUAUAGGAGUUUUCGGUCAUGUUUCUAAGGGAAAAUUAGUGACUUAAUUUAUGAAUGAUGAUGCGCUGCACUGAGCUCUGAGUUACUUUUAUUAAUUGACUGCAUAAUUAAUAGUGAGGGUUUGGAUUGGCUUUAUUUAGAGGAAGAAAGUACCCUUUUAUUUAAAAAAAAAUUGCAAAAUUUUAAGAGCAUUUGGAUAUAAUUUUAUUUGCCACAUGCUUUGAUCUGCAACUUCAAAUUUUAAAGAAAUGAAAUAUGAGAAAUUGUUCCAAAUUAGUACCCCCCUUCUUUUAUUUAUUUGUUUAUUUUUUUUUUAAUUCUGCCCAAUGAUGGACAUACAAUCUCCUGGCUAAUAGGUUUUGUUCAUACUUGUAGCUGCACCAAUCUCUCUCUCUUUCUCACUCGAUAACUCUGUGAACUGCGAUCUCUCAUAAUUAUUUAUUUAUUUAUUUAUUUUAUUUCUUCCGGAUGGUGCAAGAAGUCUGUGAAUAAAGCUAGUGGCAUAAGCUUUAGCUGAUUUCUAGCUAGCUAUAUGAGAUCUGAGGGCUCUAUUUUUCUGUUAGUUUUUCUGGUUAAGUGAUUACAUAAGUUUGCUUCCUUUUUGGUGGCUAUCUUUGAUUUUUAUUGAUGUCAUCUUCUUUAGUUACUGUUUUUUUCAUUUUCUUGGUAUUAUAAGUGCUACUGCUACUUCACGCAGUGCUAUGUGAACUUACAUUUCUGUAUGCUGUGAUGUUGUAGGGUUUAGGCCUUUAGGGUGAUGUUCUAGCUUCAAUUCAGUUCUGCCCUAUCCUGCUCUACUAAUAUAACAACUACAAUACUUCAGAAGUUUUCCUUUGUAUUUAGUUUACUACUUGCAUAGGAUAAUGUCUACAUUGAUGAAGUUUUUUAUUUUCCUUCUGAAUCAUAGAUUUUGAUUGUUUUAGUUUGCAUUUUAUACACAUGCAUAGUUAACUGCAAAAUUUUUCUUUUCCCCUUUUUCACACAUUAUAAUAAUUCUGCCAAAUGAUAGAACAUGUUUACUAAUGAACGACUCUAUGGAUAUUGUUCAUGACUGGACAUACAUCACCUCCAUUACCAUCACGGCAUCACUAUCGUCACCACUACCAUUAUCAUAAUCAUAAUCAUAUCCAUCAAUCAAUUAAUCUCUUUGUGUAUGCCUCGGUGGGUAAAUGGCUAAAUGGGACAUUGAAGGAUGAGAUUGAAGCCUGUUACAAAAGCCAUGGAUGAGUUUUAUUUAGCUAUGAGAUCUGAGGUCUAGUUUUUUUUUUAAAAAAUAUGCUUACUGAGGGUUUAAAUCAAAGGCACUUUCCUGGUCUUAAAUUUUCAUUACAGAAGUUGAAGAGAAACUUGUGCAAUAUUGUGGUGCUGAUUCAGAGUAGAUUGGUUCUUGAACUCCCUCCUUUGGUAAACUCUGGAUCAAAUCAUAUGCUAUUAGUUCUUAAUGUCAGUAUCAUGCUCCCAUUUAUGCUGACUUUAUUUUUCCCAUUUCUUUUUUGUUGGCUUAACAAAUUAACUGUUGCUUUUCUGAUGAAUGUGCUUUGUCAUGGCAUCUGUAUAGUUCAUGUUGUAUUUCGAUAUGCCCUGGGAUGAAAAUUAUUGAAGCUGGAACUUUGAAUACGAUGCCAGCCUUUUCCAUUCCUUCUGCCUUUCCUCCCACUGCCAUAAUUAACCGUUCCUUUCCCUUGUGCUGCCAUUACUGAUGAUGUUCCUCUAGACCUUGUACUUGUUCUUCUUCUUCAUCAUCAACUUCUUCUCUUAUGCAUUCCCUUUAUCACUAUACCUCUAAUCAUUGUUGUUAUUAUUAUUAUUUUCUUGCUGUCACGGUAAUUGGCAGCGGGUAGAAAUGGUGGAGAGGGGAGACAGGGAUGUGCACACUGCCUUUGGAACCCAUGGUAUCUGAGGGCACUUUGUAUACUCUGUUCACUUAUUCUAUCAUCAUCAUGUAACUGAAUGAUCCACUGCUUUGCAUUCUUAGUGAAUAUGUACUACUAUUGUAGAUAUUGAUCCGUGAAUUUCUUCUCUUGUAUAUUAAUACUAUGAUAAUCUUUAGCAUCAUGUCUCACAUUCGACAAAAGUUAGUUUCUUCCAUGUCUAUCUCAUUAUAGUUUUUGUUAUCUUAAUUAGGUUGGAAAGGAAACUCGACAUUUUGGAGUAUUGUGUUGCGUGGGGUUCCAAAUUUAGGUCUCUCAUUGACCUCUUUCUGGCAAUGAUUCCCUUUAUUUAAGCUCAGAAAUUUCAGAAGUUAGUGUAAUGUACAAUGUUGUAUAUAAUCUCUGUAAAUAAUCAUACCUUUGUAAUUUGAAGGGAAACUAAUUCCUUUG